CACCUGACCCCAUGCCGAACUCAGAAGUGAAACGCCGUAGCGCCGAUGGUAGUGUGGGGUCUCCCCAUGCGAGAGUAGGGAACUGCCAGAC
This 91-nucleotide ribosomal RNA is filed under the name Escherichia coli. RNAcentral also lists the same sequence under 12 other names. The record is from RNAcentral. Lineage: Bacteria; Pseudomonadati; Pseudomonadota; Gammaproteobacteria; Enterobacterales; Enterobacteriaceae.